This 396-nucleotide ribosomal RNA is filed under the name Triticum aestivum (bread wheat). Its description in RNAcentral is "partial small subunit ribosomal RNA". The record is from RNAcentral. Lineage: Eukaryota; Viridiplantae; Streptophyta; Magnoliopsida; Poales; Poaceae.
AUGGUUCGAAAAAACUUUAAUCCAAUUUGGUGUAAGACUUCGAAUUUAUCUUGUCCAGCGAAGGUGAAUUUUUUUAUUUGGCGGACGCUACAUGGUACUCUUCCAUGUCGUGUUACGCUUGCUAAUAGACACAUGAAAGUUUCAACUUUAUGCCCUUUUUGUGCUUCUGGGUUAGAAGACACAAAGCAUCUAUUGUUUCAGUGCCAAAAGGUAAAAGAGGUCCGGAGAAGGCUUGGCUUAGAUGAGAUCACUUCUCAAGCUUGUGAAGUUGAUCGUGCUAGAGAGGCGGUCCUCGGUUUUUUGUUGCACAUGCCUGACCAAUAUUUAUCUAUUAUGGGGUUCCUGAAUAUUCGGGGGAUGAUUGCCAUAAUGUCUUGGUAUUUGUGGUGGGAAAGA